This is a long non-coding RNA of Aphis gossypii (cotton aphid), 1075 nucleotides long. RefSeq lists it as uncharacterized. NCBI's taxonomy places the organism in Eukaryota, Metazoa, Arthropoda, Insecta, Hemiptera, Aphididae. The transcript is spliced from 3 exons. The record is from RefSeq and is a predicted model, not a curated record.
UCGCGCGUAUAGGUAACUUUAAAACAAUCGGUUACCACAAUAUAGUGGCGUACAAAAAAUGUUCGACAGUCGAAUAAUAUAAUUUAUAAAAUUAUUAUUAUUUUAUUGCAGUGUAACCCAUCGCGGUAGUUUUAAUUGGCGUUGUAAAUUAUACAGACAAGAUCGGUUGAAAUGAAAGAUAAGUCCAAGCCGGUUAAUUUCGCCAUAACUGCGCGAAAAUCACAUGCGAUGACGAGGCGACGCAAUACGUCAACGGCAUAUAAUCCUGAUAACCAAAUGCAUGGGAUGGAAUGACGGGGGCCGAGAGGUGGCGAGGGCUUGCCGUAGUUACUACAUACGACAGGCAUCGGUGGCCAUUAAUCAUCCAUCGCGGUCUCAUAGUUUUAUCUUCUGCCACCACCGUGUCAAAAUUUGAAAAAGUAAUAUAUCGAUGCGCCAGGUGGAUGAGAAACGGAUACGAAAAUAUUUAUAGAACAUGAUCCCAAAAAGUGACAUUUUUUCACUCUAUAUAUAAUAUAUAUAAAUAUAAUAUAUAACAUUUCAAACGACGAAAACUUUGUGUAGGUUGGUCUUUUUUCUCUCUCGCCUACCUAUCUAUCUCUCUAUUCGGUCUAAAUUAUUGAAUAACGUACAACGGAUGUAGCGGGAACGACAAAAUUAUCAGGAGUGGGAAAAAACCACUGCAGAAGUUUGCUGCCGAGACGACGGGGAAACAAAAGGGAUUACAAAAACAACUACAUUACAAACUCAAUUUCGACGGCUCAUUUGAUACCGUUAUGAAAGCCCAAGGAUUUUGUAGUAUUGUUUUUUUUACUCUGGUUAACAAUUUAAAUUAAUAAGACACUUUUUAUUAUUUUCCCCUUAUUUUGAUUAUUAUUAUUACUCCGCUAUUCCGGAUGCCAAAAGUCUGUAUACACUAUUUUAACACUAUAUACAUAAUAUAUCCAAUAUACCUACGUUAAGAACACUCCAUUUUUUCUACCGAUCAUCAAUCAUCAAUGUUACUGUUUAUAUUAUAUUUAAUCAAUAUUCUAUUUAAAUUAAGUUGAUACUGUGGUACUUUAAAAUAAAAGAA